This 439-nucleotide ribosomal RNA is filed under the name uncultured bacterium. RNAcentral's name for it is "partial 16S ribosomal RNA". It matches the Rfam family "Bacterial small subunit ribosomal RNA", at positions 339 to 795 of the family's 1533-position model. The record is from RNAcentral.
CUACGGGUGGCAGCAGUGGGGAAUAUUGCACAAUGGGGGGAACCCUGAUGCAGCAACGCCGCGUGGAGGAUGACACAUUUCGGUGCGUAAACUCCUUUUAUAUAAGAAGAUAGUGACGGUAUUAUAUGAAUAAGCACCGGCUAACUCCGUGCCAGCAGCCGCGGUAAUACGGGGGGUGCAAGCGUUACUCGGAAUCACUGGGCGUAAAGAGCAUGUAGGCGGGUAGAAAAGUUGGAAGUGAAAUCCUAUGGCUUAACCAUAGAACUGCUUCCAAAACUCUUUACCUAGAAUAUGGGAGAGGUAGAUGGAAUUUCUGGUGUAGGGGUAAAAUCUGUAGAGAUCAGAAGGAAUACCGAUUGCGAAGGCGAUCUACUGGAACAUUAUUGACGCUCAGAUGCGAAAGCGUGGGGAGCAAACAGGAUUAGAUACCCGCGUAGUC